Molecule: long non-coding RNA, 265 nt
Filed under: Lotus japonicus
Lineage: Eukaryota; Viridiplantae; Streptophyta; Magnoliopsida; Fabales; Fabaceae
Description: long non-coding RNA (LJAP_LNC000646)
Source: RNAcentral
UGAUUAUGAUUGAUCAUUGUGGAGUUGGGUGAAAACACCUGCAAGUCUGCAACCCAACCUCCACCAUUGUUUGACGUUCCAGAUUUUGGUCUCAAUAUUCAGAUCCAAGCACACCCAGCCCAGGCUUUGAGCACCAACAGAUCAAACACCCACAACCUCUAUUGAUCACUGUAGUUACCAAACCAGCAACUCCACCCACCGCCACCACCAAAACCCAGCGUCAACAUCACUGUCGCGCCGCUCUACUCCGCAACCAUCAGCAACC